UAUCCUGAGUAGCGCGGAACAUGUGAAAUUCUGUGUGAAUCUGCCAGAACCAUCUGGUAAGGCUAAAUAUGUUGAGAGACCGAUAGUGAACAAGUACCGUGAGGGAAAGGUGAAAAGUACCCUGAAAAAGGGAGUGAAAUAGUACCUGAAACCUACUGUCUACAAGCGGUCGGAGCCUUCGGGCGACGGCGUGCCUUUUGCAUAAUGAUCCUACGAGUUACUCCUCUCUAGCAAGGUUAAGGGCUUCAGGUCCGUAGCCGAAGCGAAAGCAAGUCUUAAAUAGGCGUAUAGUUAGGGGGGGUAGACGCGAAACCUGGUGAUCUACCCAUGGUCAGGUUGAAGCCUCGGUAAUACGAGGUGGAGGACCGAACCCGGAGACGUUGAAAAGUCUUGGGAUGAACUGUGGGUAGGGGUGAAAGGCCAAUCAAACUGGGAAAUAGCUCGUUCUCCCCGAAAUGCAUUUAGGUGCAGCCUCGGAGUCGAGUGUCAUAGAGGUAGAGCUACUGAUUGGGCUAGGGGGCUUCACCGCCUACCAAACCCUAAUAAACUCCGAAUGCUAUGACAUAUAUCCGGGAGUGAGGGCAUGGGUGCUAAGGUCCAUGUCCGAGAGGGAAAGAACCCAGACUAUCUGCUAAGGCCCCCAAAUUCGGGCUAAGUUCAUCAAACGUGGUGUGGUUGCAUUGACAGCUAGGAUGUUGGCUUGGAAGCAGCCAUUCAUUUAACGAGUGCGUAACAGCUCACUAGUCGAGCGACCAUGCGUGGAUAAUAAUCGGGGAUAAGCCCGGUGCCGAAGCAGUAGAUUUAUGGUAGGGGAGCAUUCUAGCGGCGCUGAAGGUGUGGCGUGAGCCAUGCUGGAGCUUCUAGAAAAGAAAAUGUAGGAAUGAGUAACGACAAAGCGGGCGAGAAACCCGCUCACCGUUAGGCUAAGGUUUCCUGAUCAACGCUAAUCGGAUCAGGGUUAGUCGGGACCUAAGGGGAACCCGAAAGGGGUACUCGAUGGAAAACAGGUUAAUAUUCCUGUACCUGCUACACAUUAAAAGUGACGGAGACAUGUAGUGUUUACGUGCUGACGGAAUAGCACGUUGAGCCGAGCCUUCUGGGCGAAGCGAAAGCAUGAACUGGCUUCCAAGAAAAGCGAGUGUAGCGGCCCGUACCGCAAACCGACACAGGUAGCCAAGGAGAGUAUCCUAAGGUGCUCGAGUGAUUCAUGGUUAAGGAACUAGGCAAAUUGGUCUCGUAACUUCGGAAGAAGAGACGCUCUUCGGAGCCGCAGUGAAUAGGCCCAAGCGACUGUUUAUCAAAAACACAUGGCUUUGCUAAAUCGAAAGAUGACGUAUAAGGCCUGACACCUGCCCGGUGCUGGAAGGUUAAGGGGAGAUGUUAGCUUCGGCGAAGCAUUGAACUGAAGCCCCAGUAAACGGCGGCCGUAACUAUAACGGUCCUAAGGUAGCGAAAUUCCUUGUCGGGUAAGUUCCGACCUGCACGAAUGGUGUAACGAUUUGGGCACUGUCUCAACCAUGAGCUCGGUGAAAUUGUAGUAUCGGUGAAGAUGCCGAUUACCCGCAACGGGACGAAAAGACCCCGUGAACCUUUACUAUAGCUUUGCAUUGACAUUGAUUAUUUGAUGUGUAGGAUAGGUGGGAGACUUUGAAGUGGCGUCGCCAGGCGUUGUGGAGUCAUCCUUGAAAUACCACCCUUUACAUAGUUGAUGUCUAACUCCUUCGAGGACAGUGCAUGGUGGGUAGUUUGACUGGGGUGGUCGCCUCCAAAAGAGUAACGGAGGCUUCUAAAGGUACCCUCAGUACGGUUGGUAAUCGUACGUAGAGUGCAAUGGCAUAAGGGUGCUUGACUGCGAGACUUACAAGUCGAACAGGUACG
Molecule: ribosomal RNA, 1878 nt
Filed under: marine metagenome
Description: bacterial LSU rRNA
Rfam family: Bacterial large subunit ribosomal RNA
Source: RNAcentral